This 63-nucleotide transfer RNA is filed under the name Foenatopus ruficollis. Its description in RNAcentral is "tRNA-Arg". Lineage: Eukaryota; Metazoa; Arthropoda; Insecta; Hymenoptera; Stephanidae. The record is from RNAcentral.
AUAUAUGAAAUAAAUAUUAUAUUCAUCUUCGAAAUGAAAAAUGGUUAUAAACACCCAUAUAUA